This 495-nucleotide long non-coding RNA is filed under the name Brassica napus (rape). Its description in RNAcentral is "long non-coding RNA (BNAP_LNC026970)". The record is from RNAcentral. Lineage: Eukaryota; Viridiplantae; Streptophyta; Magnoliopsida; Brassicales; Brassicaceae.
UGAAAUGUUGAUUGUAUUCUUGAAAUUUCUCGCUUGUAUUCUUGAAAUUACUCUAUUGUUCGUAAAAUUGUUUGUCAUGAAACUGUUGUUUGUAUUCUUGAAAUUGUACUCGGUUGUAGACAUAGAACUGUUGUUGUUCAUAGUUUGGCAUGUUUGUUUGCAACUAGAUAGUUUGGCAUGUUUGAAAUUUAAGGCUAGUUUGAUUGAGAUUCAACUUAGACUUGGACUCUAAUGAUAACUGAAAGGGUAGUUUGAUUGCGAUUCAACUUAGACUUGGACUCUAAUGAUAACUGAAAGGGUAGUUUGAUUGCGAUUCAACUUAGACUUGGAGUCAUGUUUUUUUAAUGACCUUGAAAGGCUAGUUUGUUUGCGAUUCAAUUUAUAGAUCGACUCUAGUUUGUGUAAUGAAGAGGGCUAGUUUUUUUCCAUUUAUUGGUAAUUUGACAGUUUGAAAUGAAAGGCUACUUUGACAUCUUCACCAAGUCUAUUUACGGG